CCUACGGGAGGCAGCAGUGGGGAAUAUUGCACAAUGGGGGAAACCCUGAUGCAGCGACGCCGCGUGAGUGAAGAAGUAUCUCGGUAUGUAAAGCUCUAUCAGCAGGGAAGAAAAUGACGGUACCUGACUAAGAAGCCCUGGCUAACUACGUGCCAGCAGCUGCGGUAAUACGUAGGGGGCAAGCGUUAUCCGGAUUGACUGGGUGUAAAGGGUGCGUAGACGGCAGCGCAGGUCUGGAGUGAAAUGCCGGGGCUUAACCCCGGAACUGCUGUGGAAACUGUGCGGCUGGAGUGCAGGAGGGGUAAGCGGAAUUCCUAGUGUAGCGGUGAAAUGCGUAGAUAUUAGGAGGAACACCGGUGGCGAAGGCGGCUUACUGGACUGUAACUGACGUUGAGGCUCGAAAGCGUGGGGAGCAAACAGGAUUAGAUACCCUGGUAGUC
This 440-nucleotide ribosomal RNA is filed under the name uncultured bacterium. RNAcentral's name for it is "partial 16S ribosomal RNA". It matches the Rfam family "Bacterial small subunit ribosomal RNA", at positions 338 to 795 of the family's 1533-position model. The record is from RNAcentral.